Molecule: transfer RNA, 399 nt
Filed under: uncultured Microcystis sp.
Lineage: Bacteria; Bacillati; Cyanobacteriota; Cyanophyceae; Chroococcales; Microcystaceae
Description: partial contains 16S-23S ribosomal RNA intergenic spacer, and 23S ribosomal RNA
Rfam family: tRNA (bases 133-206)
Source: RNAcentral
AAGGGGGACCUAAUUCAGGUAUGGGACGAAAAAAAAGUAGUCGCUACCAAGAAUCAAUCCCAAAAGGUCGGAGCGAGGUAUGAGGCUUUCAAACUAGGUUCUGGGUUCAAACAAGACCUGAAUCAGGAACAAGGGCUAUUAGCUCAGGUGGUUAGAGCGCACCCCUGAUAAGGGUGAGGUCCCUGGUUCGAGUCCAGGAUGGCCCACCUGCACAGGUGGCAAAAACAAGAGAAGCGAGGAAUCAGCACCUUAUCUUAUCUAUAUAUAUAUAGGAGAGAAUGCUGGCUCUGAGUAAAGAGUCCAGAGGAACCUUGAAAACUGCAUAGAGCUAGGUGAAAAAGCCAAAAAAGAAGACCGCAAGGUCAAGCUAAUAAGGGCUAACGGUGGAUACCUAGGCAC